Non-coding RNA from Gossypium hirsutum (cotton), 145 nucleotides. NCBI's taxonomy places the organism in Eukaryota, Viridiplantae, Streptophyta, Magnoliopsida, Malvales, Malvaceae. The record is from Rfam.
UGUUAAAAUUUUCAUCCAUUUCUACUAUUAAUAACUAACAUGGCUGACGAAAUAACCAGACAGUUAUACGUGAUAUGUUACGUACACUUCAUGCUGAUGUACAAGGACCAAUUUUUAACUGUAGAAAUGGAUAAAAUUUUUAACA